AUACGGAGGAUCCGAGCGUUAUCCGGAUUUAUUGGGUUUAAAGGGUGCGCAGGCGGCCAUUUAAGUCAGCGGUUAAAUCGUGGGGCUCAACCCCAUUCUGCCGUUGAUACUGGGUGGCUUGAUUGCGGUCGAGGUUGGCGGAAUUCGUUGUGUAGCGGUGAAAUGCAUAGAUAUGACGAAGAACACCGAUUGCGUAGGCAGCUGACCAGACCGCAAAUGACGCUCAUGCACGAAAGUGCGGGGAUCGAACAGGAUUAGAUACCCUGGUAGUCCGCACAGUAAACGAUGAAUACUUGUUUUCGGCGAUAUAGUGUCGGAGGCAAAGCGAAAGCGAUAAGUAUUCCACCUGGGGGGUACGCCGGCAACGGUGAAACUCAAAUGAAUUGGCGGGG
RNAcentral lists this ribosomal RNA (392 nucleotides) under uncultured bacterium. RNAcentral describes it as "partial 16S ribosomal RNA". It matches the Rfam family "Bacterial small subunit ribosomal RNA", at positions 523 to 918 of the family's 1533-position model. The record is from RNAcentral.